RNAcentral lists this ribosomal RNA (500 nucleotides) under uncultured bacterium. Its description in RNAcentral is "partial 16S ribosomal RNA". It matches the Rfam family "Bacterial small subunit ribosomal RNA", at positions 29 to 523 of the family's 1533-position model. The record is from RNAcentral.
AACGAACGCUGGCGGCAGGCCUAACACAUGCAAGUCGAGCGGAUGACGGGAGCUUGCUCCUUGAUUCAGCGGCGGACGGGUGAGUAAUGCCUAGGAAUCUGCCUGGUAGUGGGGGACAACGUUUCGAAAGGAACGCUAAUACCGCAUACGUCCUACGAGAGAAAGCAGGGGACCUUCGGGCCUUGCGCUAUCAGAUGAGCCUAGGUCGGAUUAGCUAGUUGGUGGGGUAAUGGCUCACCAAGGCGACGAUCCGUAACUGGUCUGAGAGGAUGAUCAGUCACACUGGAACUGAGACACGGUCCAGACUCCUACGGGAGGCAGCAGUGGGGAAUAUUGGACAAUGGGCGAAAGCCUGAUCCAGCCAUGCCGCGUGUGCGAAGAAGGUCUUCGGAUUGUAAAGCACUUUAAGUUGGGAGGAAGGGCAGUAAGUUAAUACCUUGCUGUUUUGACGUUACCGACAGAAUAAGCACCGGCUAACUCUGUGCCAGCCGCCGCCGUAA